ACAGGAUUAGAUACCCUGGUAGUCCACGCCGUAAACGAUGUCGACUUGGAGGCUGUUCCCUUGAGGAGUGGCUUCCGGAGCUAACGCGUUAAGUCGACCGCCUGGGGAGUAUGGCCGCAAGGUUAAAACUCAAAUGAAUUGACGGGGGCCCGCACAAGCGGUGGAGCAUGUGGUUUAAUUCGAUGCAACGCGAAGAACCUUACCUGGCCUUAACAUCCAGAGAACUUUCCAGAGAUGGAUUGGUGCCUUCGGGAACUUUGAGACAGGUGCUGCAUGGCUGUCGUCAGCUCGUGUUGUGAAAUGUUGGGUUAAGUCCCGCAACGAGCGCAACCCUUAUCCUUUGUUGCCAGCGAUUCGGUCGGGAACUCAAAGGAGACUGCCGGUGAUAAACCGGAGGAAGGUGGGGAUGACGUCAAGUCAUCAUGGCCCUUACGGCCAGGGCUACACACGUGCUACAAUGGCGCAUACAAAGAGAAGCGACCUCGCGAGAGCAAGCGGACCUCAUAAAGUGCGUCGUAGUCCGGAUCGGAGUCUGCAACUCGACUCCGUGAAGUCGGAAUCGCUAGUAAUCGUGGAUCAGAACGCCACGGUGAAUACGUUCCCGGGCCUUGUACACACCGCCCGUCACACCAUGGGAGUGGGUUGCAAAAGAAGUAGGUAGCUUAACCUUCGGGAGGGCGCUUACCACUUUGUGAUUCAUGACUGGGGUGAAGUCGUAACAAGGUA
This 726-nucleotide ribosomal RNA is filed under the name uncultured bacterium. RNAcentral describes it as "bacterial SSU rRNA". It matches the Rfam family "Bacterial small subunit ribosomal RNA", at positions 772 to 1498 of the family's 1533-position model. The record is from RNAcentral.